Long non-coding RNA from Aphis gossypii (cotton aphid), 598 nucleotides. RefSeq lists it as uncharacterized. The record is from RefSeq and is a predicted model, not a curated record. The transcript is spliced from 3 exons. Lineage: Eukaryota; Metazoa; Arthropoda; Insecta; Hemiptera; Aphididae.
UUAGUGCGCCUCUACGUUGCUUAAGGAACCUCUGUACAAAAUUUGAAGUCCCUAUACCCAGCGGUUUGGUCAGGGCGUUGAUGAGUGAAUCGGGGCGGUCUCCUAUAUGUAUAUAGAUAAACAAUUAAUAGAUGCGCACAUAUUGUUACUAUGUUAUUGUUUUAUUACGUAAUAUUUUAAUACGCUGGCUUAAAUGCAUAUUGACGAUUUUCACAAAAUAAUACAUAUUGUUUACUUAUAACUAAGUAACUAAAUAAUAUAAAGAAUUCAUAAUUUAUACUUGGGUUUCACAUUUGACGUGAUAUUCAUAAAAUAUAACUUUGAUUAAUAAUAUUUAAUUCGAGUCUACUUUUUAUUGAUUAUUAAAAGUUUGUGGCAUUUAUCAAUCCUAUUCUAAUAGUAAGCAACAUACAUAGGACAAUUGUUUAAAUUGUGCUAUUUCAAUUGGGAUUGACUCAUCCAAGAUGCAUUUUUGGAAUUCCUUGUUGAGUCCGGAAGUUAUAGUGUAAUGAAUAUGCUGAAAUAUAUUUAAAAUUAAAAAAAUAUUAAAUACAGCUUAAGUAUAUACAAUUUUAUUUUAUCCAACGAAACAAGUGAC